RNAcentral lists this ribosomal RNA (510 nucleotides) under Bacillus paramycoides. RNAcentral describes it as "bacterial SSU rRNA". It matches the Rfam family "Bacterial small subunit ribosomal RNA", at positions 37 to 524 of the family's 1533-position model. Lineage: Bacteria; Bacillati; Bacillota; Bacilli; Caryophanales; Bacillaceae. The record is from RNAcentral.
UUGCCGUGGCGGGGUGCUAUACAUGCAGUCGAGCGAAUGGAUUAAGAGCUUGCUCUUAUGAAGUUAGCGGCGGACGGGUGAGUAACACGUGGGUAACCUGCCCAUAAGACUGGGAUAACUCCGGGAAACCGGGGCUAAUACCGGAUAACAUUUUGAACCGCAUGGUUCGAAAUUGAAAGGCGGCUUCGGCUGUCACUUAUGGAUGGACCCGCGUCGCAUUAGCUAGUUGGUGAGGUAACGGCUCACCAAGGCAACGAUGCGUAGCCGACCUGAGAGGGUGAUCGGCCACACUGGGACUGAGACACGGCCCAGACUCCUACGGGAGGCAGCAGUAGGGAAUCUUCCGCAAUGGACGAAAGUCUGACGGAGCAACGCCGCGUGAGUGAUGAAGGCUUUCGGGUCGUAAAACUCUGUUGUUAGGGAAGAACAAGUGCUAGUUGAAUAAGCUGGCACCUUGACGGUACCUAACCAGAAAGCCACGGCUAACUACGUGCCAGCAGCCGCGGUAAU